RNAcentral lists this ribosomal RNA (259 nucleotides) under uncultured bacterium. Its description in RNAcentral is "partial small subunit ribosomal RNA". It matches the Rfam family "Bacterial small subunit ribosomal RNA", at positions 26 to 285 of the family's 1533-position model. The record is from RNAcentral.
AGAAUCAACGCUGGCGGCGUGCCUAACACAUGCAAGUCGAACGGGAAAGUGGAGCAAUCCAUGAGUAUAGUGGCGACCGGGUGAGUAACACGUGACUAACCUACCCUUGAGUGGGGGAUAACCUCGGGAAACCGGGGCUAAUACCGCAUAACAUCUUCGGGAUGAGAAGCUGAGGAUCAAAGGAGCAAUUCGCUUUCGGAGGGGGUCGCGGCUGAUUAGCUAGUUGGCGGGGUAACGCCCACCAAGGCUUUGAUCGGUA